GACGAACGCUGGCGGCGUGCCUAAUACAUGCAAGUUGAGCGAUGAAGAUUGGUGCUUGCACCAAUUUGAAGAGCAGCGAACGGGUGAGUAACGCGUGGGGAAUCUGCCUUUGAGCGGGGGACAACAUUUGGAAACGAAUGCUAAUACCGCAUAACAACUUUAAACAUAAGUUUUAAGUUUGAAAGAUGCAAUUGCAUCACUCAAAGAUGAUCCCGCGUUGUAUUAGCUAGUUGGUGAGGUAAAGGCUCACCAAGGCGAUGAUACAUAGCCGACCUGAGAGGGUGAUCGGCCACAUUGGGACUGAGACACGGCCCAAACUCCUACGGGAGGCAGCAGUAGGGAAUCUUCGGCAAUGGACGAAAGGCUGACCGAGCAACGCCGCGUGAGUGAAGAAGGGUUUCGGAUCGUAAAACUCGGUUGGUAGAGAAGAACGUUGGUGAGAGUGGAAAGCUCAUCAAGUGACGGUAACUACCCAGAAAGGGACGGCUAACUACGUG
RNAcentral lists this ribosomal RNA (497 nucleotides) under uncultured bacterium. RNAcentral's name for it is "partial 16S ribosomal RNA". It matches the Rfam family "Bacterial small subunit ribosomal RNA", at positions 28 to 507 of the family's 1533-position model. The record is from RNAcentral.